RNAcentral lists this ribosomal RNA (130 nucleotides) under Octodon degus (degu). The record is from RNAcentral. Lineage: Eukaryota; Metazoa; Chordata; Mammalia; Rodentia; Octodontidae.
GUCUAAGGCCAUACCACCCUGAAGGGACCCAAUCUCAUCCGAUCUUGGAAGCUAAGUAGGGUCAGGCCUGGUUAGUACUUGGAUGGGAGACCAACGUAGUUGGCCCUCCUGAGUCCUAGUGCGCUAGGUG